This 284-nucleotide ribosomal RNA is filed under the name uncultured prokaryote. Its description in RNAcentral is "partial 16S ribosomal RNA". It matches the Rfam family "Bacterial small subunit ribosomal RNA", at positions 524 to 817 of the family's 1533-position model. The record is from RNAcentral.
CACGGGGGUUGCGAGCGUUGUCCGGAAUUACUAGGCGUAAAGGGCAGGCAGGCGGAUCCAUAAGUUUAUCGUUUAAGGCGUCGGCUUAACCGGCGUAGGGCGGUAGAUACUGUGGAUCUGGAAUGCGGUUGGGGAAGACAGAAUUCCUGGUGUAGCGGUGGAAUGCGCAGAGAUCAGGAGGAAUACCGAAGGCGAAGGCAGUCUUCCAAGCCGUUAUUGACGCUCAACUGCGAAGGUGUGGGUACCAAACAGGAUUAGAUACCCCCGUAGUCCCUGAGCGGGCU